RNAcentral lists this long non-coding RNA (1310 nucleotides) under Homo sapiens (human). RNAcentral describes it as "HSALNT0364078". Lineage: Eukaryota; Metazoa; Chordata; Mammalia; Primates; Hominidae. The record is from RNAcentral.
GAACCAAGGUUCCACGCUGACUUCAUGAAAUAAAUUAUUGGAGUGGGAAGAAGAACACAUUGCAGAGGCUGAGUGGUCCAAAAAAAAAAAAGCUUCUCCAUUCUCCACACCAUCAAACACUGUGAUCACAACGGAGGACUUUACAAUCACCAUCUUUAUAGCUGGUUUAUGAUGCAAUGACUCUAUGUAUCAAUAUAAUUCUUUGCCAAGAGAAUUUGUAUGGUUCAAUUCUUGGGUGAAUAAAAACACUACCUGGUUUAAAAAUACGUAUAUUUCUACAGCAUGUUAUUUGCUGAACAAAGUUGGAUAUUCUUCUACGAGAAGCCAUCAUUUGAAACUUCCAUGACUGGUAGCUGGAUUGGAGGUUACGUAAUGUUUAGCAUGCCUGUCAACAGUUGGUGGUAAAAUCCACUUGACCAUAAACUACUGAGGGCAGAUGGAGAAUUGAUAUUUCUAACAAAAAUCUCUCCAAGGGCUGCCACUUGUGGAUACUCAGACAGUGCUCUGCCCAAAGGUGCACCAGCAGAGCAGGGAGAAAUAGGGAUCAAAAUCUUGCCAGGUAGUACUCAGUUGGAUCAAUCCACAAUGGAGCAUUUCUGCUAAUCUACUAAAACAUGUUAUGCAUUUCUGAGACGGGAACCUUACAGACCAUAUACAAGCAGAACCUUUCAUCUCAAACCACCCACAGCAGUGAUUCUUCAAAAUGGGACAAGUCCAAAAGGAUGCUGUGAUAUCUGUCAUACUUUCCUCUACUGGCAGCCCCUCCUCUUCUUGAACUGUGGGAAAGAGUACAGACUUUCAAGUGAAUAAGUAGAUCUGAUCUGAAUCACAACCACUUCUGCCACUCAGGGGAUGUGUCAUCUGGGCCACAGCAUUUAUCUUCUCUUGGCCACCUCAAGUUUGGAAUCUGAACUCUUCUGCAAAAAGAAGGGAACCUGAAAAAGCUGAUCUACUGGGAUGCAUAAAAUCUGCUUCAGGACUGAUGAAGUUGCAUUUCUGAACUAGUAUUAAAAGGGUGAGAGAGAUUUAUGUGAAACAACUGAAACAUUUCAGUGUCAAAAUACUCCCAAAUACAGAACAACAGAGUAGAUCUGUGUGCUCACUCUUGCAAGAAAGGAAGAAGGAGGAUCUGGAGGAAAUUGAACAAUAAAGCUUCCUAGCUGAAUCCAGUAAAUUUUCCCAACCUCUCCAGAAUAUGAAAAAAAAAAAUGUUGCUUUUCUGUUUUGGUAAUUUUUCACAGUUAUGAAAGAAUUGGUGAGAGCAGUUUAGGAGAUGCAAUGACACUGUAUAACAGAAGAAAAAUAAAAGG